GGGGUGGCAGCGAGGAGAGGCAGAAGUCACAGGGCUGAGAGCACCGCGCCGGCGCUCGGGAGGGCUCAGCCGUCAGGUUUCAGUGCCUCGGGUGGACCGCGGGGUGACUGGGCUCAAGGGAAUGGCGGAUUAGUCGGGCUCAGCAAGUCGGCGGCUGCGGCGCUGGACCCAGGCCCGAGCUCAGGAUUGACUACCCCACGUCCGGGAGACCCGAACCCAUACCUCGCGGUGAAUCCGAUCCAAACCCGGGCCUUCUCCCGCCCGGCACCGCCCUCCCCCGCCGGCGGAGGCAGCGACCGGAAGCAGCCGCCCAGAGGACUGCUCGCACCCAGCACGUGAUCCAGCGGCGGGCAGCACGCUAUGCGCAUGUGCGAGGCGGGGCUCCCUGACAGGUUUUCAGUACCUCACACCUACCUGGGACUGUGACCCUUGCCAGGCAUAUUGUAGACCUGACCUCAUGGAAUUCUCACCAUGAUCCAAGAGAUAAGUAUUACAGUCUUAAUCCCAUUUUUUAGAGGUGAAACUGAGGUUCGGGAUAACUUUCCUAUCACCUUUCACUUGCCUACUAAGUUUUAGGAACCAAAAUUCAAACUAUAGUCCUGUAUCUGACUGUAUUACCCUUUUAAUUACCCAAAUCUGCUUGCUCCCUGAAUCAAUUAAUGUUACUUUGUAUAUAAGCUUAAAUACUCAUGGCCUUCUAAGUAAUUAGAUAAUAAGGUGGUUAAAGAAUCUUUCCAAACUCUUUUUUGGUGCUUUAUUUUUAAAGGACUUCCUAAAAUCCCCUUCAUCCUCAGAGCAUGCAGUGUUCAGCCUCACACAGCAGGCACUCGGCAAAGACUUGCUGACCCGCUUGUGGAUGCAGCUAGGGGCUCCCCAGCAGUGACUUACCUUCCUGGCCACCAACUGGAUGGCAUCAUCCUCAAAGGCCUUUAAAUGCUUGAGUCGAGACACUAGGAUCUGCUGCAGUUGACUGUGUGUGUAGGGCUGGAAGGACAUCCUGGUAAGGCCCUGGGGAGCCCAGAUGACAGAGGAAUAAGUUCAUUAACUGCCCACUGAUUGCCCAGGUGGAAGAUCAUCUUCAGGCUUCCGAACCCAAUUCCCAAGUUCUGCGUAACAAUUUGCUCAUUUCUUUGGGACCACCGCUGCAGCCAGCUACCGUCAUUAUCGCCAUGACAAUGACCGGUGGCAUCCUACAGGGCAGUAGUUCUCAAACUACUUUUUGUUUUAAGAACCUUUUAUUCUGCCAGGAUCAUUUGGAAUUAGAUAGAAGCAGAGGUGCUCUAAUUAACCUAGGGAGGAGGAUGUCAGGAUCUCCCCUGAUCACACAGCCCCUGGCUUCCUUUAUCAGGCUCUUCACGACUGGAUGUUGUACUUCCUGUUCAAUCGUCAGGCCUGUGAAUGCAGACUGCAUCUGACUGGCUCACUGCUCUACUCCAAGCAUCUAGCAGGUAGUGGGUAGUAAGUGCUUAAUUUUUUUUUUUUGGUACUGGAGAUCAAACUUGGGACCUUGCACUUGCGAGGCAGGCAGCAGCACCACUGUGCUAAAUCCCCUGCUCAGUGCUUAAUAAUUUUAAAGGUAAUCAGCCAGGCAUGGUGGCACAUGCGUGUAAUUCCAGGACUUUGGGAGACUUGCAACAGGAUUGCAAGUUCAAGCCCAGCCUGUGCAACUUAGUGAGAUAAAAAAUUUUGAAAGGACUGGGAUGGGGGCCGGGGAUUUAGCUCAGUGGUUUCACCGCCUGCUGCGCAAGCACAAGAACCCGAGUUCGAUCUCCCGUACCAAAAAAAAAAAAAAAGACUGGGAUGUAGCUCAGUGCAUAGGCCCUGAGUUUAAUUCCCAGUACACACACACACAUACACACACACACCACACCCAAAACAAAGUAAAACAGAACAAAACAGAAAGAAUACUCUGCAUAUCUCUGCACAGUUUAAAAGUGUAGAAGUAAUGGAAUACCAAGAUAUGGUAUGUGCAGAAAAUCAUGCAAUGGAGUUUUCUUCCAACAUGGAAAUUACACGCAUGGCAGAAACUAUUUUUGUUUCCAUUUUUGCAGAACGCCUUGGCCCAGCUUACAAACCUGUUCGCACACCUUGAGAACUACCUAGGACCUACCAAUCGGCUCGACACCCGGCUCAUCAUGAUCCUCUCGGGCAGAUCCAUGGUGUUGGCAAUGGUGAGGACCACCAGGCGAGCCUCCUUGUGAGUGGGCCAGUCAAACAGAUUAUACAUGACAUCUUGCUUGUGAGUCCACAGAAGGUCAAGCUGCCAGGAAAGAGGACAGAAAUGCUGGGUCGGGCAGAACGACUGAGACAGGGCGGGGUAGAAGCCCGUUACCACUGCUCUUGCUGCAUGCUCUGCUCCGGUCACCCUAUCAAAGCAGCAAGGAAAUCGGUGAACAACUCAGAAGAAUGCAGAAGGGAGUCAGCACUCUUGCCCAUCCAGCAUCCACUCCGGGGAUGUUAUAGUCAGUGCUGCCCAUUUCUGUCCACCUCCUGGGUGCACCUCACCUCAUCCACAAGCAGGACAGUGGUUUCCUGUGGGGACCGUCGGGUACAGAAUUGUUUUGCCAGAAGUGCUGCUGCAUGGUUAGCUGUUGCCUUCUGGCCUGUCAGCUUCUGCAUUGGGGGAAAAACAGCCAUGGUAAACAAGCUUAAAGUGAAAUCUGUAAGAGAAGCAACCUAGUCUGAGGGUUUCAGUGUCCUGUUCUCUGCCUCCCAUUCUAGUCUUAGCCUUAACCUGGAAGGACAGGACAAGUACCAGAUGAGAAGAUAAAAACCAUGUGUUUGAAAUGGAAAUGGGUCAGAGACUGGCUCCAGAAGUCCCAUGAAAAUCACCAUUGUACCAUUCUGUAACUGAACAUGACCUGUACUGAGGUAACAGUUAAUGAACGAAAGGAGAGAUUUAACCCCUGGCCUACCUCAGCCACAGUCUGCCAUCUAUGGGUUAACAGUUGUCAGCACACUAGCAAGUCCUGGCUUGCAGUCACUCACUAACCAGAUCCUAGAUCCUAAAGUCCUGA
Molecule: non-coding RNA, 3017 nt
Organism: Heterocephalus glaber (naked mole-rat)
Lineage: Eukaryota; Metazoa; Chordata; Mammalia; Rodentia; Bathyergidae
Source: RefSeq, a predicted model, not a curated record